RNAcentral lists this long non-coding RNA (288 nucleotides) under Ananas comosus (pineapple). RNAcentral describes it as "long non-coding RNA (ACOM_LNC006841)". Lineage: Eukaryota; Viridiplantae; Streptophyta; Magnoliopsida; Poales; Bromeliaceae. The record is from RNAcentral.
GCGUGUGCGGCUUCAAGAGAACCCGAUUCUACGAUCAUCAAAUUGAGUUGAAGAUCUAUCAACGAAAAAGGUAAAGAUUCGAUCUUGUUUUUCUUCUUUAAUCUUAAAACAUGAGGGAUCCUAAUUGCGUGGUUUUUGAGAUUGGAUCUCGAGAGUUUUCUAAAAUCAAAUUUGUUUGAUUUCUUUUUCCGCUACGUUUUUACCGUACGCAAUUUUCUAACAGUACUAAGGGAGAAUAGGGGUUUGAAUUUAUAUACAGAUUAGUUUCAUUGCGGAGAUAGUUUUGUU